GGAGAGGUGACAGAGCGGCCGAAUGUGACGGUCUUGAAAACCGUUGUGUCCGCAAGGGCACCAGGGGUUCGAAUCCCCUCCUCUCCG
RNAcentral lists this transfer RNA (87 nucleotides) under Actinomyces graevenitzii. RNAcentral's name for it is "tRNA-Ser". It matches the Rfam family "tRNA". From Rfam's summary of the family: Transfer RNA (tRNA) molecules are approximately 80 nucleotides in length. Their secondary structure includes four short double-helical elements and three loops (D, anti-codon, and T loops). Further hydrogen bonds mediate the characteristic L-shaped molecular structure. tRNAs have two regions of fundamental functional importance: the anti-codon, which is responsible for specific mRNA codon recognition, and the 3' end, to which the tRNAs corresponding amino acid is attached (by aminoacyl-tRNA synthetases). tRNAs cope with the degeneracy of the genetic code in two manners: having more than one tRNA (with a specific anti-codon) for a particular amino acid; and 'wobble' base-pairing, i.e. permitting non-standard base-pairing at the 3rd anti-codon position. The record is from RNAcentral. Lineage: Bacteria; Bacillati; Actinomycetota; Actinomycetes; Actinomycetales; Actinomycetaceae. RNAcentral also lists the same sequence under 1 other name.